Non-coding RNA from Paramarasmius palmivorus, 87 nucleotides. The record is from the annotation of a GenBank genome assembly. NCBI's taxonomy places the organism in Eukaryota, Fungi, Basidiomycota, Agaricomycetes, Agaricales, Marasmiaceae.
GAAUGUAGCUCAGUUGGUAGAGCGUGUCACUAGUGCUCAUACUUACCUGUAACGAGGUCAGUCGUUCAAGUCGGCUAGAGGGAAUCC